ACGGAGGGUGCAAGCGUUGUUCGGAAUCACUGGGCGUAAAGCGCGUGUAGGCGGUUCGAUAAGUCGCGGGUGAAAGCCCGAGGCUUAACUUCGGGAGUGCAUUCGAAACUGUCGAGCUUGAGUACGGGAGAGGGAAGUGGAAUUCCUGGUGUAGAGGUGAAAUUCGUAGAUAUCAGGAGGAACACCGGUGGCGAAGGCGGCUUCCUGGACCGAUACUGACGCUGAGACGCGAAAGCGUGGGGAGCAAACAG
RNAcentral lists this ribosomal RNA (251 nucleotides) under uncultured prokaryote. RNAcentral describes it as "partial 16S rRNA". It matches the Rfam family "Bacterial small subunit ribosomal RNA", at positions 525 to 775 of the family's 1533-position model. The record is from RNAcentral.